RNAcentral lists this ribosomal RNA (211 nucleotides) under uncultured bacterium. RNAcentral's name for it is "partial 16S ribosomal RNA". It matches the Rfam family "Bacterial small subunit ribosomal RNA", at positions 568 to 774 of the family's 1533-position model. The record is from RNAcentral.
CUCGUAGGUGGCCAACUAAGUCAGACGUGAAAUCCCUCAGCUUAACUGGGGAACUGCGUCUGAUACUGGAUGGCUUGAGUUUGGGAGAGGGAUGCGGAAUUCCAGGUGUAGCGGUGAAAUGCGUAGAUAUCUGGAGGAACACCGGUGGCGAAGGCGGCAUCCUGGACCAAUACUGACACUGAGGAGCCGAAAAGGCCAGGGGAAGCAAACG